RNAcentral lists this long non-coding RNA (1561 nucleotides) under Marmota monax (woodchuck). The record is from RNAcentral. Lineage: Eukaryota; Metazoa; Chordata; Mammalia; Rodentia; Sciuridae.
CUUUGGAGAAAAGCCUAAGAAGUCAUGUUUUUGGUCUGGCACCAGGAAUCCCAAAGUACAUGAUUAGGGUUCAUAAGAGGUUGAAAGAAGGGGUUGCCUUACUGAUUCUGCUGAGCUGUGUGGGCAGCAGUCUGGUAAGGGGCUCUAAUGACCCUUCACUGGCAACCAAAGCACCUUCAGAGCUACCAACUUCACUGCAUCCUUCAAAUACCUCAGCAAAGUAGAUCUCUCACAGGAGACAAAAUGGAGGUCUAGAGAGUGAAUAAAAUCCCUCAAGCUACAGAAUGGUGUUAGUGCCCCAUCUGUAUAUAACCUUGGAAACUCCUUCCAUGGCAUUAGGAUCUGAGAUUCCAGUCUCAGAAGGUGUUUGAGGGCCUUUUGCUCUUCAAAUUCUUGCAGGUUCCCAGUACCUGUCCACUUCUGGAAUAGAAGGGUUUGUGAGGGAAAAAGGACAUAGAGCUUCCCUUUGUCUUAGUGUGGGGUUCCUGUGACCUUUCUUAAUCCGGGAAAUUUCAAUAGAAGAAAAUAGAAUUUCAUCAUCAACUAGAAAAACCAGGGAAGACCUGACAGAGCCACUGAUCCCCUUGGCUGGUUGAAUAAGAAAAGCCUUGCUCUAAAUAGUUUCCUAGAAAUCUUCCCAAGUCUGGGCCCAAGUUGACCAUCUAUAAGCUAACACCAUUACCUUCCAUCAUAAAGUAAUUUAGAUAAACCAUAGACCUAGGGGGAUAGUGAAGGUCAUUGUGUUUAUUUCCCUACCUCAUGGCUCAACCCUUGCACAAGGACAGAUGUUUCUGCCUUCCAUUCCUCUGAUAAUAGUGUGACUCAUUUUUUCUCUCCCUUGGGGCCCUAGUGACCCACAGCUACGUGAUCAUUAAUGGAGCUGGGGAGACUGAAACUGGAUUCCUAGUGGAAAGGCAAGCUCCAACUUUUUGAGAGACCUUCGGCCAGUCAAAUAGCCACUCAGUCAGCCCUUUAGCCAGACAGUCAGCCAGCCCACACAAACUGAACUCUUCCUUUGUGUUAGGCAAUGUGCUAAGAGCUGUGAGGGUGAUAAACGAUGUAAAUUCUGCCUUGUGUACAUGUACAAACAUAUAACAAAAAUCUCACCAUUAUGUAUAAUUAUAGUGCACCAAUACAUAAUAUGGUUAAAAAAAAAAAAGUCUGCCUUAGAGGAUUUGACAGCUGAUCUAGGGGAGAAAAGUCAUGCACAUCUGACUACUAAAGGCAGAAUUAACAUACCAAUCUGAUUUUUGUUGGUGUGUGUGUGUGUGUGUGUGUGUGUGUAUUUUGUGGUGUUGGAGAUUGAACCCAGGGCCUCAAGCAUGCUAGGCAAGUGUUGUACCACUGAGUUACAUCCCCAGUCCUACAAGGCUGGAUAUAGAUGCUCUUAGGAGAGACAGGAACAAAGUGAUUCAAAAUAGAGGUGUCAGGGGCUAAGAAAAAUAUUUACAUAUGUUUCCUUAAAUUCCAAUCCAUAUGAAAUGAGUGCCUGGCAUUAAUUGAACUUUCGGGGGAAGGCUGAUUAGAAGAAACUGCUUCCUGCAGCUGAAGAACUAUGGGA